Long non-coding RNA from Piliocolobus tephrosceles (Ugandan red Colobus), 518 nucleotides. RefSeq lists it as uncharacterized. The record is from RefSeq and is a predicted model, not a curated record. The transcript has 2 exons. Lineage: Eukaryota; Metazoa; Chordata; Mammalia; Primates; Cercopithecidae.
CAAAUACAAUCUCAAAAAAAAAAAAAAAAAAAAGUAAAAAAAAAUGACUUUGAUAAAAUACUGUUAGAAUAUACAAAAAAUGAUGGUUCCAAGGUCGAACAAAAUACGAAUACUGUUAUAAAUAAUGUAGUUAAUAAUAAUAAAGAUAAUACUACAAUGUUAAAAAAUUUGAACAAAAAUAAAAAAAAUAAUCUUGUCAUUCAAAACAUCCACGAAAAUAACUGUGGUGAUGAAAAUGAUGAUAGUUUAAAAAAAAAAAAAAAAAAAAAAAAAAAAAUAAUAAUAAUAAUAAUAAUAAUGAUAAAACUGAAAAUAACGCGAAUAAAGAAAAAAACGUUGAAGAAGGUGUUAACAGCCAUAUUAAUAAUACACCAAAGAAAGGAGAUCCUAAUCAUUAGGACACAGCUAAAGAAACGUUAGCGUCGAAUAAAAACGGAUAAGGAAAAUGCAGUUCUCAAAAAUGAUGACAAUGCAAUAAACACAAAUGAAAAACUAAAAGAAAUCAUUAACAAAACGUC